This 855-nucleotide ribosomal RNA is filed under the name Salmonella enterica. Its description in RNAcentral is "partial 23S ribosomal RNA". It matches the Rfam family "Bacterial large subunit ribosomal RNA", at positions 331 to 1191 of the family's 2925-position model. The record is from RNAcentral. Lineage: Bacteria; Pseudomonadati; Pseudomonadota; Gammaproteobacteria; Enterobacterales; Enterobacteriaceae.
AGUGGAAGCGUCUGGAAAGGCGCGCGAUACAGGGUGACAGCCCCGUACACAAAAGCGCAUGUGCUGUGAGCUCGAUGAGUAGGGCGGGACACGUGGUAUCCUGUCUGAAUAUGGGGGGACCAUCCUCCAAGGCUAAAUACUCCUGACUGACCGAUAGUGAACCAGUACCGUGAGGGAAAGGCGAAAAGAACCCCGGCGAGGGGAGUGAAAAAGAACCUGAAACCGUGUACGUACAAGCAGUGGGAGCACCCUUUGGGUGUGACUGCGUACCUUUUGUAUAAUGGGUCAGCGACUUAUAUUCUGUAGCAAGGUUAACCGAAUAGGGGAGCCGGAGGGAAACCGAGUCUUAACCGGGCGUUAAGUUGCAGGGUAUAGACCCGAAACCCGGUGAUCUAGCCAUGGGCAGGUUGAAGGUUGGGUAACACUAACUGGAGGACCGAACCGACUAAUGUUGAAAAAUUAGCGGAUGACCUGUGGCUGGGGGUGAAAGGCCAAUCAAACCGGGAGAUAGCUGGUUCUCCCCGAAAGCUAUUUAGGUAGCGCCUCGUGAAUUCAUCUCCGGGGGUAGAGCACUGUUUCGGCUAGGGGGCCAUCCCGGCUUACCAACCCGAUGCAAACUGCGAAUACCGGAGAAUGUUAUCACGGGAGACACACGGCGGGUGCUAACGUCCGUCGUGAAGAGGGAAACAACCCAGACCGCCAGCUAAGGUCCCAAAGUCAUGGUUAAGUGGGAAACGAUGUGGGAAGGCCCAGACAGCCAGGAUGUUGGCUUAGAAGCAGCCAUCAUUUAAAGAAAGCGUAAUAGCUCACUGGUCGAGUCGGCCUGCGCGGAAGAUGUAACGGGGCUAAACCAUG